UAUCUCUGUAGAGUCUGCAUAUCAAUAAGCGGAGGAAAAGAAACUAACAAGGAUUCCCCUUAGUAACGGCGAGUGAAGCGGGAAGAGCUCAAAUUUGAAAUCUUCAAGGUUCUACCUUGACGAAUUGUAGUUUAUAGAAGUGUUUUCUGUUAGUAGAGUGGCAAAAGUUCUUUGGAAUAGGACAUCAUAGAGGGUGAGAAUCCCGUAUUUGGUCAUUCUUUCUAGCUUUGUGAUACACUUUCAACGAGUCGGAUUGUUUGGGAAUGCAGUCCAAAAUGGGUGGUAAAUUUCAUCUAAAGCUAAAUAUUGGCGAGAGACCGAUAGCGAACAAGUACCGUGAGGGAAAGAUGAAAAGAACUUUGAAAAGAGAGUUAAACAGUACGUGAAAUUGUCAAAAGGGAAGCGUUUGACACCAGUGUUGUUUUUCCGAAAAUCAAUUACGAAUGUUUUGUUUUUAAGAAGUUAUGACUUCAUCGGCUUGCUUCCUUUCUUUACGAAACUUUCUUAAUGCACUUUUCGGUUAACAAGUCAACAUCAAUUUCUUUUGUUGUAAAAGGGUAUGAGGAAGGUGGCUUUCUUUUCGGAGAAAGUGUUUAUAGCCUUGUGCCUCUGCAAUCGGAGAGAUUGAGGUCUGCAGCGUAGAUCCUUCGGGGUUAGAUACGUUUGUGCUAAGUUAUAGCUUUUCAUAGACAACUUGUUGACUAUGUUUAGUCUUGUAGCUUACUCGCUGACGCUAUUUUACCUACGCUUAGGAUGUUGACGCAUGAGAUAUACGC
Molecule: ribosomal RNA, 776 nt
Filed under: uncultured Neocallimastigales
Lineage: Eukaryota; Fungi; Neocallimastigomycota; Neocallimastigomycetes; Neocallimastigales
Description: partial large subunit ribosomal RNA
Rfam family: Eukaryotic large subunit ribosomal RNA
Source: RNAcentral